RNAcentral lists this ribosomal RNA (439 nucleotides) under uncultured bacterium. RNAcentral's name for it is "partial 16S ribosomal RNA". It matches the Rfam family "Bacterial small subunit ribosomal RNA", at positions 339 to 795 of the family's 1533-position model. The record is from RNAcentral.
CUACGGGGCGCAGCAGUGGGGAAUAUUGCACAAUGGACGAAAGUCUGAUGCAGCAACGCCGCGUGGAGGAUGACACAUUUCGGUGCGUAAACUCCUUUUAUAUGAGAAGAUAAUGACGGUAUCAUAUGAAUAAGCACCGGCUAACUCCGUGCCAGCAGCCGCGGUAAUACGGGGGGUGCAAGCGUUACUCGGAAUCACUGGGCGUAAAGAGCAUGUAGGUGGAUUAAUAAGUUGGAAGUGAAAUCCUAUAGCUUAACUAUAGAACUGCUUCCAAAACUGUUGAUCUAGAAUGUGGGAGAGGUAGAUGGAAUUUCUGGUGUAGGGGUAAAAUCCGUAGAGAUCAGAAGGAAUACCGAUUGCGAAGGCGAUCUACUGGAACACUAUUGACACUCAGAUGCGAAAGCGUGGGGAGCAAACAGGAUUAGAUACCCCGGUAGUC